AUGGGAGAAUCGUCGAAAAGAACUGGCCCUAUAUACCUGCGGCCUGAGGCCGAAGGCUGCACGCUUCACAUUCACUCGAUAGUUCUUUUAACGAUGGCGUUCUCGGCGGAUCCGACCGCACAGCCCUACGUCGUUGAGGAUUGCCGCGGGGUGCUGCAGCUUCUCAGCGACGGCACAGUCGUGCGCUCUGCGGCCUUGCCCUUCCCUGUCGACGGCAACGUCGCAUAUAACGACCACGGCCGUGUCGAGUGGAAGGACGCCGUGUACGACGCCGGCCUCGGCCUCGGCCUUCGCAUGUACAAGCCGACGACGAACGCCAGAGAGGAGGGCAAGAAGCUCCCCGUGCUCGUCUACUUCCACGGCGGGGGCUUCUGCAUUGGCUCCUGCACGUGGCCCAACUUCCACGCCGCCUGCCUCCGCCUCGCCGCCGAGCUCCCCGCCGUUGUACUCUCCUUCGACUACCGCCUCGCCCCCGAGCACCGCCUUCCCGCUGCCCACGAGGACGCCGCAGCGGCCCUCCUCUGGCUACAGAACCAGCUCGCUUCGGACCCGUGGCUCGCCGACGCGGCCGACCCACGCAGGGUGUUCGUCUCCGGCGAGUCUGCCGGUGGCAACAUCGCGCACCACCUUGCCCUCCGGUUCGGCAGGGCAGGACUGGACCCAAUGAGGAUCGAGGGGUACAUCCUGCUCAUGCCGGCAUUCUGCUCGGAGCAGCCGACGCAGUCCGAGCUUGACUCACCGGCGACGGCGUUCCUGACGAGGGAAACCUGCGACAGGUACUGCCGCCUCUUCCUGCCCGCCGGAGCGAACGAGGACCACCCGCUGGUGAACCCGCUCGGGCCGGACAGCCCAGGCCUUGAGGCGUUGGACGUCGGCCGCGUGCUCGUCGUGGCCGCGGAGGGCGACCUGCUGAGGGACAAGAACGUGGAGUACGCGGAGCGGCUGAGGGCGGCGCGGGGGAAGGAGAAGGAUGACGUCGAGCUCGUCGUGUUCGCCGGCGAGGAGCACGCGUUCUUCGGGGUGAAGCCGACGUCAGCGGCCACCGGCGACCUCGUCCGGGUCAUCAGGCGGUUCAUGGCCACGGAGAGGGAAGCAGCCUGCUGA
RNAcentral lists this ribosomal RNA (1104 nucleotides) under Triticum aestivum (bread wheat). RNAcentral's name for it is "partial small subunit ribosomal RNA". Lineage: Eukaryota; Viridiplantae; Streptophyta; Magnoliopsida; Poales; Poaceae. The record is from RNAcentral.